GACGAACGCUGGCGGCGUGCUUAACACAUGCAAGUCGAACGGUGAAGGGACCGGUUUUUGCUGGUUCUGGAUGAGUGGCGAACGGGUGAGUAACACGUGAGUAACCUGCCCCCUUCUUCUGGAUAACCGCAUGAAAGUGUGGCUAAUACGGGAUAUUCUGCGCCUGCUGCAUGGUGGGUGUGGGAAAGAUAUUGUUUCGGUGGGGGCUGGGCUCGCGGCCUAUCAGCUUGUUGGUGGGGUGAUGGCCUACCAAGGCGGUGACGGGUAGCCGGCCUGAGAGGGUGGACGGUCACACAGGGAAUGAGACACGGGCCAGACUCCGACGGGAGGCAGCAGUGGGGAAUAUUGCACAAUGGGCGGAAGCCUGAUGCAGCGACGCCGCGUGAGGGAUGGAGGCCUUCGGGUUGUAAACCUCUUUCGCCAGUGAAGCAGGCCUGUCCCUUUUGUGGGUGGGUUGACGGUAGCUGGAGAAGAAGCGCCGGCUAACUACGUG
This 493-nucleotide ribosomal RNA is filed under the name uncultured bacterium. RNAcentral's name for it is "partial 16S ribosomal RNA". It matches the Rfam family "Bacterial small subunit ribosomal RNA", at positions 28 to 507 of the family's 1533-position model. The record is from RNAcentral.